GACAGAGGUGCCAAGCGUUAGGCGGAAUCACUGGGCUUAAAGCGUGUGUAGGCGGACUUCUAAGUACCUUGUGAAAUCCCACGGCUCACCCGUGGAACUGCUCGGUAUACUGGUCGUCUUGAGCCACUUAGGGGCUGUCGGAACAGGCGGUGGAGCGGUGAAAUGCGUAGAUAUCGCCUGGAACGCCAACGGUGAAAACAGACAGCUGGGAGUGUGCUGACGCUGAGACACGAAAGCCAGGGGAGCGAACGGG
Molecule: ribosomal RNA, 253 nt
Filed under: uncultured bacterium
Lineage: Bacteria
Description: partial 16S ribosomal RNA
Rfam family: Bacterial small subunit ribosomal RNA
Source: RNAcentral